AAAACGUUGAGCACACCGGAUCGAAUAUGUUUUGGGAUCUAAUCGGUGGAAUUUUCGAGUUCAUUUUCGGACUCUUGUUUCCCAGUUCCGGCAGUGGAGACGAACCAGAUUCUGAGGAGGUGGAAACCACUUGAUGGCCUAAAAUAAUAUAGCUUGUGUACCCUUUUAAAUUGCAAAAGUUCCAUGUUUUCGCUUUAUUAAAUCUACGUAAAUGAGGAUUAUAUACAGUGCGCACUCGAUACACGCAUUUCAACAAGGUGCUUAGUUCAAAACAGUUUGAACUGCUUUUUCAGUUCCAUUUUCUUCCAUUUGGGCAGCUCGUC
This is a long non-coding RNA of Drosophila subpulchrella, 323 nucleotides long. RefSeq lists it as uncharacterized. Lineage: Eukaryota; Metazoa; Arthropoda; Insecta; Diptera; Drosophilidae. The transcript has 3 exons. The record is from RefSeq and is a predicted model, not a curated record.